CGGCGAGUGAAGCGGCAUCAGCUCAAAUUUGAAAUCUGGCGUCUUCGGCGUCCGAGUUGUAAUUUGUAGAGAGUGUCUCGGGUGGAGCACCGGUCCAAGUCCCUUGGAACAGGAUAUCAUAGAGGGUGAGAAUCCCGUAUCCGGCCGGUCCCCUCCCCCGCUGUGAGACCUCUUCGACGAGUCGAGUUGUUUGGGAAUGCAGCUCUAAAUUGGAGGUAAAUUCCUUCUAAAGCUAAAUACUGGCCAGAGACCGAUAGCGCACAAGUAGAGUGAUCGAAAGAUGAAAAGCACUUUGAAAAGAGAGUCAAACAGUACGUGAAAUUGUUGAAAGGGAAGCGUAUGCGGCCAGACUUGUCCCCAGUUGCUCAGCCCGUCUUCUGGCGGGUGUACUCUUCUGGGGCCAGGCCAGCAUCGGUUUGGGCGGUCGGAUAAAGACGUUAGGAAUGUGGCCCCUCUCGGGGGGUGUUAUAGCCUGGCGUGCAAUGCGAUC
RNAcentral lists this ribosomal RNA (490 nucleotides) under Pseudosigmoidea excentrica. Its description in RNAcentral is "eukaryotic LSU rRNA". It matches the Rfam family "Eukaryotic large subunit ribosomal RNA", at positions 87 to 580 of the family's 3401-position model. The record is from RNAcentral. Lineage: Eukaryota; Fungi; Ascomycota; Dothideomycetes; Venturiales; Sympoventuriaceae.